CGGACGGGUGAGUAACACGUGGAUAACCUACCUAUAAGACUGGGAUAACUUCGGGAAACCGGAGCUAAUACCGGAUAAUAUAUUGAACCGCAUGGUUCGAUAGUGAAAGACGGUUUUGCUGUCACUUAUAGAUGGAUCCGCGCCGCAUUAGCUAGUUGGUAAGGUAACGGCUUACCAAGGCGACGAUGCGUAGCCGACCUGAGAGGGUGAUCGGCCACACUGGAACUGAGACACGGUCCAG
RNAcentral lists this ribosomal RNA (241 nucleotides) under uncultured Staphylococcus sp. Its description in RNAcentral is "partial 16S ribosomal RNA". It matches the Rfam family "Bacterial small subunit ribosomal RNA", at positions 99 to 334 of the family's 1533-position model. Lineage: Bacteria; Bacillati; Bacillota; Bacilli; Caryophanales; Staphylococcaceae. The record is from RNAcentral.